RNAcentral lists this ribosomal RNA (792 nucleotides) under Acinetobacter pittii. RNAcentral describes it as "bacterial SSU rRNA". It matches the Rfam family "Bacterial small subunit ribosomal RNA", at positions 1 to 785 of the family's 1533-position model. The record is from RNAcentral. Lineage: Bacteria; Pseudomonadati; Pseudomonadota; Gammaproteobacteria; Moraxellales; Moraxellaceae.
UUUAACUGAAGAGUUUGAUCAUGGCUCAGAUUGAACGCUGGCGGCAGGCUUAACACAUGCAAGUCGAGCGGAGAGAGGUAGCUUGCUACUGAUCUUAGCGGCGGACGGGUGAGUAAUGCUUAGGAAUCUGCCUAUUAGUGGGGGACAACAUUUCGAAAGGAAUGCUAAUACCGCAUACGUCCUACGGGAGAAAGCAGGGGAUCUUCGGACCUUGCGCUAAUAGAUGAGCCUAAGUCGGAUUAGCUAGUUGGUGGGGUAAAGGCCUACCAAGGCGACGAUCUGUAGCGGGUCUGAGAGGAUGAUCCGCCACACUGGGACUGAGACACGGCCCAGACUCCUACGGGAGGCAGCAGUGGGGAAUAUUGGACAAUGGGCGCAAGCCUGAUCCAGCCAUGCCGCGUGUGUGAAGAAGGCCUUAUGGUUGUAAAGCACUUUAAGCGAGGAGGAGGCUACUUUAGUUAAUACCUAGAGAUAGUGGACGUUACUCGCAGAAUAAGCACCGGCUAACUCUGUGCCAGCAGCCGCGGUAAUACAGAGGGUGCAAGCGUUAAUCGGAUUUACUGGGCGUAAAGCGCGCGUAGGCGGCUAAUUAAGUCAAAUGUGAAAUCCCCGAGCUUAACUUGGGAAUUGCAUUCGAUACUGGUUAGCUAGAGUGUGGGAGAGGAUGGUAGAAUUCCAGGUGUAGCGGUGAAAUGCGUAGAGAUCUGGAGGAAUACCGAUGGCGAAGGCAGCCAUCUGGCCUAACACUGACGCUGAGGUGCGAAAGCAUGGGGAGCAAACAGGAUUAGAUAC